Molecule: ribosomal RNA, 404 nt
Filed under: uncultured bacterium
Lineage: Bacteria
Description: partial 16S ribosomal RNA
Rfam family: Bacterial small subunit ribosomal RNA
Source: RNAcentral
GAUGAACGCUGACAGAAUGCUUAACACAUGCAAGUCAACUGUGGCGGACGGGUGAGUAACGCGUAAAGAACUUGCCUCACAGAUAGGGACAACAUUUGGAAACGAAUGCUAAUACCUGAUACUGUGAGAGAGCUUUGCGUCACAUUAGCUAGUUGGAGAGGUAACGGCUCAGCAAGGCGAUGAUGGGUAGCCGGCCUGUGAGGGUGAUCGGCCACAAGGGGACUGGGACACCGCCCGUACGCCUACGGGAGGCAGCAGUGGGAGAUAUAGGACAAUGUGCCAAAGUCUGAUCCAGCAAUUCUGUGUGCACGAUAAAUUUUUCGGAAUGUAAAGUGCUUUCAGUUGGGAAGCAGUACCAACAGAAGAAGUGACGGCUAAAUACGUGCCAGCAGCCGCGGUAAUUC